UACGUAGGGGGCAAGCGUUGUCCGGAAUCAUUGGGCGUAAAGAGCGUGUAGGCGGCCAGAUAAGUCCGCUGUGAAAACUCGAGGCUCAACUUCGAGCUGUCGGUGGAAACUAUUUGGCUAGAGUCCGGAAGGGGCGAGUGGAAUUCCUGGUGUAGCGGUGAAAUGCGCAGAUAUCAGGAGGAACACCAAUGGCGAAGGCAGCUCGCUGGGACGUGACUGACGCUGAGACGCGAAAGCGUGGGGAGCAAACAGG
RNAcentral lists this ribosomal RNA (253 nucleotides) under uncultured bacterium. RNAcentral's name for it is "partial 16S ribosomal RNA". It matches the Rfam family "Bacterial small subunit ribosomal RNA", at positions 524 to 776 of the family's 1533-position model. The record is from RNAcentral.